AAAAGAUGAGUCGUAUAUACACCCAGUGUAAGCUUUCACAUCAGCCGUUGCUCUUGAUUGUCUUUGCAAGUCCAUAGAUAUAAUUUCUUAUGAUUUUCCUUUACUCAUAGUAAGUACUGAAUAUUUUGUGCUUCAACCCUUUAGGUGUUAAUUUCUAUGAUGUGGCUAGCAAAGUUGGCAACAGCUGGAGCUACCUGGAACUUUCAAUUUUGGUGCCAAGAUGGAUGGAUUCAACUGGGUGACCCACAGUCAGGGCGUGGCCGCGGCUGCGGCGCGGGCAGCAAGGACGAGCGCCGCAAGGGAGCCGAUGGGCGUGGGCGUGAACCGGGGAGAGGAGACCGUGGCGGAGGAGAUGAGAGAAGACCACCGUCUUCUUCUCCCCCCUCUCCGACCAGAAACCCCUAUAUAUCCAUCCGACGAGAGAAGACUGCGGGCGGAGGAGAGGAGACGCGGGUGAGGUAAGAGGAGCCAAAUCCCCAUCAUGCUCCUCCCCGCGCGCCGCCGACCCACCCGCGGCAUUCUUUCUGGUGUGCUAGGUAACCGAAUCCACCUACCCCUACCCGUACCUUUUUGGGGGGAUUUUGUUGAACUAUUUUGGGGCUUUUGAUUUGGGGGCGAUGUUGACAUGAUUGUUCGAGGAAGGGGAAUGGCUUCUUGUGCGCUCAGUUUGUUGUUGUCUGCAGGGGAAACAACAGCAAGAUGG
Non-coding RNA from Triticum urartu, 703 nucleotides. NCBI's taxonomy places the organism in Eukaryota, Viridiplantae, Streptophyta, Magnoliopsida, Poales, Poaceae. The record is from RefSeq and is a predicted model, not a curated record.